This 105-nucleotide non-coding RNA is filed under the name Morus notabilis. Its description in RNAcentral is "Bacterial large subunit ribosomal RNA". It matches the Rfam family "Bacterial large subunit ribosomal RNA", at positions 2523 to 2632 of the family's 2925-position model. The record is from Rfam by way of RNAcentral. Lineage: Eukaryota; Viridiplantae; Streptophyta; Magnoliopsida; Rosales; Moraceae.
ACUUCGAUGUCGACUCAUCACAUCCUGGAGUUGAAGAAGGUCCCAAUGGUUCAGUUGUUCACCGAUUCAACUGGUACGUGAGUUGGGUACGUCAUAAGACAGUUC